CAGGCCGGACAGCCGCGGCUAUUCGCCCAACGGCGGAUAGAUGAGGAAAGUCCGGGCUCCACAGGGCAGGGGAUAACGGGUAACGCCCGCCGAGGGUGACCUCAGGACAAGUGCAACAGAGAUAUACCACCGCAGGGCUUCGGUUCUGCGGCCAGGGUGAAAAGGUGGGGUAAGAGCCCACCCGGCUUAUGGAGACAUAAGUUUUACGAUGUAAACUCUAUCCCGGAGCAACGCCGUGGAGGGACAUGUGAUCGGCCCGAUCGUCCCGAGGAGGCGGCUUGAUCCCGUGAGCGAUUGCGGGGCUAGAUAGAUGGCUGUCAAGACAGAACCCGGCUUAC
This 338-nucleotide RNase P RNA is filed under the name uncultured Faecousia sp. Its description in RNAcentral is "Bacterial RNase P class A". It matches the Rfam family "Bacterial RNase P class A". Rfam says of the family: Ribonuclease P (RNase P) is a ubiquitous endoribonuclease, found in archaea, bacteria and eukarya as well as chloroplasts and mitochondria. Lineage: Bacteria; Bacillati; Bacillota; Clostridia; Eubacteriales; Oscillospiraceae. The record is from RNAcentral.